RNAcentral lists this unclassified non-coding RNA (319 nucleotides) under plant metagenome. RNAcentral describes it as "partial contains 5.8S ribosomal RNA, internal transcribed spacer 2, and large subunit ribosomal RNA". The stretch from base 1 to 105 matches the Rfam family "5.8S ribosomal RNA", at positions 50 to 154 of the family's 154-position model. The record is from RNAcentral.
GAAAUGCGAUAAGUAAUGUGAAUUGCAGAAUUCCGUGAAUCAUCGAAUCUUUGAACGCACAUUGCGCCCUCUGGUAUUCCGGGGGGCAUGCCUGUCCGAGCGUCAUUGCACACCCUCAAGCGCGGCUUGUGUGUUGGGCCCCCGCGUCCUUGCCUCUUAAAGGACGGGCCCAAAAGGCAGUGGCGGCACCAUGUCUGGUCCUCGAGCCUAUGGGGCUUUGUCACCCGCUCCCGUAGGUCCAGCUGGCAGCUAGCCUCGCAACCAAUCUUUUUAACCAGGUUGACCUCGGAUCAGGUAGGGAUACCCGCUGAACUUAAGC